AAAGUCGUAACAAGGUUUCCGUAGGUGAACCUGCGGAAGGAUCAUUAAAAGAUAUGGCAUUUUUCACAUUCUGUGGAUAAUUACCAAUCAACCCCAUUCCGAGUACCUUACCUGAUUGCUUCCACACAGUGUCUGUAACAGGACAUCCUGAUGAAUGAGUAACCUCAUCGGAGGGAGAUGUGUGGAGGGUAUACUUAUAAACUCUUGCAUUACCAUGUAUUCUGUCUGAUCAAGUUUAAUACAAAAACUAUUAAAACUUUCAACAACGGAUCUCUUGGUUCUC
This 283-nucleotide unclassified non-coding RNA is filed under the name Ascomycota sp. RNAcentral's name for it is "partial contains small subunit ribosomal RNA, internal transcribed spacer 1, and 5.8S ribosomal RNA". The stretch from base 1 to 47 matches the Rfam family "Eukaryotic small subunit ribosomal RNA", at positions 1785 to 1831 of the family's 1831-position model. Lineage: Eukaryota; Fungi; Ascomycota. The record is from RNAcentral.